RNAcentral lists this long non-coding RNA (1363 nucleotides) under Monodelphis domestica (gray short-tailed opossum). Its description in RNAcentral is "lncRNA (ENSMODG00000041287.1)". The record is from RNAcentral. Lineage: Eukaryota; Metazoa; Chordata; Mammalia; Didelphimorphia; Didelphidae.
UGCUAAUGAGAAUUGUUUCAGACAUCUUGGAUCUCAAUUGUCUGACUUGAUUUCUUUGACUAGCAUGGUAAAUUCCUUGGAAUGAUGUUUGGAUAGACUGGUAACCAUGGUACCUGUGACAGUAAUAAAGCCCAGGAUGGUAAUUGAUGGCUUUCCAUUGCCUACCUGGCUAAUUACUUAAUGCAUCAAACAGUCCUAGCAGGUCAGUCAGUAACAGUAAAGAGAAGGAAACACAUCAGAGAAGUUGACUGCACAAGGCUGAAUCAUGAGUCAGCGAUGGAGCUGGAAGGAAGGAAAAAGAAGCAGAGGGAGCAGCAGGUUCUGGCUUUAUACCAGGAAAGCAAGAAAAACCAACGCCUCUGACAUCAUCAAUCAUCAAGAUGAGAGUUCACAUUUAUGGAGGGUAUGUAAUGGGGAGACUGACUAAUGAGGGCACAGUCCUUGGAAAAUGCUCCAUUUGCCUUUCCUGGGGGGCAAAGAGGAUUUACAACAAUGGCUGGCUGCCUAUGGUUCAGUCGACUGCUUGGAAAGCCUCUUUCUAGAGAUGUGUGAUGGAGCGGCUGGUACUGUGCGAUAAUGAAGUCUUCUAAUUGACUGAGGAGUAAAAAGGACCAAGGACUCAGCAAGUGCCAACCCAGAACUAAACCCUAUACAAAAAAGAAUGACCCUCCACUAGCUCACUCUCCUUUGUUUCCUGACAAGUGUCAAAGAACUGCUAUGAGCUGCUGGGUGGAUGGAAAGGAGGCUGCCCUAUCUCCCACUUAGGUACCAUGUGCUUGUGAGUUCAUGGUGUCUCUGUUGCUUUGAUGUUUGUUUGUUUUUUCUCAAAACUUUUGUCUUAUAAUUAACAGUAUGCAUUGGCUCCAAGUCAGAAAUAAUGCAAGGUAAGAGAAUUAAAAAUAUGAGUCUAUAUAGUUUUAGAAUAGAUGGCACCUAAACUUUCUCUCUUAUUUUUAAACCCUCACCUUCUGUCUUAGAAUCAAUACUGUGUAUUGGUUCCAAGGCAGAAGGGCAGUAAUGGUUAGGCAAUGGAGGUUAAGUGACUUGUCCAGGGUCACCCAUCUAGGAAGUGUCUGAGGUCAUAUUUGAACCCAGGACCUCCUGUCUCCAGGCCUAGUUCUCAAUCCACUGAGCCACCUGGCUGCACUGUUGCCCCCAUUCAUAUUUUUUUUUGGUAAAUAUACAUCCAUUUUACUUAGAUUGUCAGAUUUAUUGGUAUAUAAUUGGGCAAAAUAGCUCCUAAUGAUUGUUUUAAUUUCCUCUUCAUUGGGUAGUGAAUUCACCCUUUUCAUUUUUGAUACUGAUUAUUUGGUUUUCUUCUUUUUCUUUUUUAAAUCAAAUUAACCCAUUUGGGUUUUUAAUA